GUGCUUGCUUCAGCAGCACAUAUACUAAAAUUAAAAUGAUAGAGAAGAUUAUCAUGGACUCUGCAAGGAAGACUUCCAAAUUCAUGAAGUGUGCCAUAAACAA
This is a small nuclear RNA of Lynx canadensis (Canada lynx), 103 nucleotides long. The record is from Ensembl. Lineage: Eukaryota; Metazoa; Chordata; Mammalia; Carnivora; Felidae.